Molecule: non-coding RNA, 349 nt
Filed under: Metabacillus litoralis
Lineage: Bacteria; Bacillati; Bacillota; Bacilli; Caryophanales; Bacillaceae
Description: Bacillus litoralis cspA thermoregulator
Rfam family: cspA thermoregulator
Source: Rfam by way of RNAcentral
UUCGGUCUGUAAGGAAAGAAUAAGUGUUUAAACUUUUCGCCUUUGAUAAUUGAGCAAGGAUAGUAAUAAAUCGUGGAAUAUCCACACGGGAGGCAACAAACAUGCAACAAGGUACAGUAAAAUGGUUUAAUGCAGAAAAAGGCUUCGGAUUCAUCGAAAUCGAAGGUGGAGACGACGUAUUCGUACAUUUCUCAGCUAUCCAAGGCGAAGGAUUUAAAACUUUAGAAGAAGGUCAAAAAGUGACUUUCGAAACUGAGCAAGGUCAACGUGGACUUCAAGCAGUUAACGUUAACAAAGCUUAAUUAGCUUUUAUGUACAAAAAAGGACUUCUAACGAAGUCCUUUUUUUG